This 2264-nucleotide long non-coding RNA is filed under the name Bactrocera tryoni. RNAcentral's name for it is "uncharacterized LOC120766911". Lineage: Eukaryota; Metazoa; Arthropoda; Insecta; Diptera; Tephritidae. The record is from RNAcentral.
CCAUUGUGCACAGUUAAAAUUUAUUUUUCUCCGCUCAUUUGGAAAGAAAGCAAGAGACAUGAAACUUAUAUUCCCUUUAAUCUUAUGUAUUUGUCUCGUAACGGCAGCAGAAAGAAUGGUACUAAAUAACACUACCAUUGCUUCUAAUGCUGCUUUUAUAUCUAGACGAAGUAUGAGAUGUCAAACAGUUAAUCAUCGUGGCCAAUGCAUUGGUGGAAGCUCUAAAUAAAACGAAUAUAGAAAAAUAUAGAGGAAAAUUAACACUUAAUAUGAUGACAACAUUAUGAUCGAUAAUCACUUCGUUGGAAUUUUGACUUCGAACAAAAAUAAUAGACAUAAAUAUAAAACUGCAAUGGUUAUUGGACGUUGAGGAAAUAAUAAAUUUAGACUUUAAUAAAAUUGAGUGAUCUCAAACAUGCAAUACUCUCGAAGCUAACCUUUAAUUUUUAAUAUAAUAUAAUAGUCUACCUGAUUUUUGGUGGGCAAACACUGGACCUGAAUAUAGUACUGGACGAACAAUUUCGGCAUUUCGUUUAGAGAAAGAAGAUACAUACUUAUAAAAUUGUUGAAAAAUAAUGCUAAAAUAUAUAUAUAUGUAAAUAAAUUGGUGGUUAUGUUAUUAUGGAUGGUCUAGCUCAACAUCGUGUAAUGGCCAUGUAUGACAAAAAUUCAAACAAAAACAAAAACAAAUUCUCCUUUAACUCAGAAAACAUUUGAAAUUCCGAAGAAGAUUGCAAAAGAAUAAUUACACGAUAAUUAGCAAUUUAACUGCAUACGACACUGAAAUUCUCAUAAGAAGAUUAGACUAGUAAAAGUGUUAUUUUCUAGGAACGAAAAAUUGAAAUCGCUCUCAGCGUCCGGUCAAAAUUUUUCAUCAGUGGUAAGGCACUUGCUCAACAAAUUCAUCUUCAGCUUCUCAAAGACGAAUUGAAUCUUGCUUAUUAUGUAUAAUAUAUGAAUACAUUGAAAAAGCUAUCUUUUUUCUCGAUAUUGGGCCAAACCAAUGGAGAGAUCGAAUUAUUUCCAUUCCUCGAAACACUUUUUGAGAUGGCCUUCAGCUCCUUCAGCAAAUUUUGUUUUAUCUCUUCGAUCGACUGUUUCCAUUUCGAUGAUUGUUGAGUUGCUUGCAUGUCAAGUACCUAAACUCAUGUCUCAUCGGCAGUUAUAAGUAAUAAUUAUAUGAAUUUCGGAUCGUAAUUCGAACGAUCAAGCAUGUCCAAAGAGACCUGUUUACGGCCAAAAAAAUCCAGCUUUAUCGGGACUAGUUGAGUAAGAACGUGUUUUAUACCAAAAAUAUUCACCAAAAUCAUUCGAACGAACUCAGAACAAAAAUCGGCUCCACAUUUAUCAUGUAGCUCCCGCAAAUAAAUCUGAACGUGGACUAGUACUGUGGAAGAAAAAGAGCAAUGAGGAAACACAGGUCUGGAACUGUUUUAAAGCAGUAGUGCAUGAUGUCCGUGGAAAUCAUAGAGCUGACAGUUAUGACGUGCUGAUCAAGGACAUGAAUACGAAUUUCUUUCGUCAUCGGAAGAGCAAUGUCCCUAAACAAAAAUUUAAAGAUAGUAUGGCAGUUUAUUUGGAAGAACAAAGAAAAUGCUUCCAAAGCCAGAGUAAAUUCUAAAAACUAUUACAGGAUAAUGGAUACCUUUUUUUGUUUUGGGCUGCUCAAUUGGCUACAAGGAUCGUGUGAUAUCACAACGUUACACUUUUUCUGUGUGGAUAUGUAAAGUAUAAAGUCUAUCCGGACAAUCCCGCUUCGAUUCAGACCUUGGAGCAAAACAUCACCCAUGUCAUUCGACAGUUACCACUCGAUAUGCCCGAUCGUUCACAAAAUAAAUCCACGGAUGGGAAUUUUCAAACAAAUUACCUCAUGCACACGGAUAAUAUGGCCUUAGCCAGUAGACCCCGGUUGGGAUGCCAACAUUUUGAUCAUCGCGGCCGGUGUGUCGAUGAAGAAGCUAGACCAAAUUUGUUUCUAAGAAAUAACUACUAAAAUGCAAGGGUAACUGUGUAGAAUUAAAAAAUCAUACGGCGAACGAACUAAACUUACUUCGAUAUAUAUACUUACUUAUAAAUAUACGCAAAUAGAGAAUAUAUAAGUAAUACAAAGUGCGUUCCAUAGUAAAGAGGACUUUUUGAAUCUAGCGUUCCUUUGUGGAACCAUCUAUACUGGUGACAAUUACAUGACGUUUUAUCGAUUGGAAGUGAAGUUAUUGCGUUUUAAGUGUCAGUAUGUUUGUGUUAUAGGUGCGAAAAUGAGCUUC